UAAGCGGAGGAGAAGAAACUAACCAGGAUUUCCCUAGUAACGGCGAGCGAACCGGAAAGAGCCCAGCUUGAAAAUCGUGGUGCCUCGUACCUCGAAUUGUAGUCUGGAGAAGGUCCCUCUGCGACGCGCCGGGCCCAAGUUCCCUGGAAAGGGACGUCAUCGAGGGUGACAACCCCGUCCGCGCCCGGAACGCGUCGCUCCACGAGGACCUGUCUGCGAGUCGGGCUGUUUGGGAAUGCAGCCCUAAGCGGGAGGUAAAUUCCUUCCAAGGCUAAAUAUGGGCAAGAGACCGAUAGCGAACAAGUACCGCGAGGGAAAGAUGAAAAGGACUUUGAAAAGAGAGUUAAAAAGUGCUUGAAAUUGCUGGGAGGGAAGCGAAUGGAAGCUGCGGGUGCGCCCCGGUUGGAUGUGGAACGGCUUCGGCUGGUCCGCCGCUCAACGCGGGGCGCUGGUCAGCGUGGGCCACGGCGCCGGGACAAGAGCGGGGAUUCGUUUUCCGCCUAUGCCGGUGCGGUGGCCGAGGCACGAAGCGCGCGCCGCAAGGCGUGGGUUCGCCCAACUGCGCGCUCGGGACGCUGGCGUAUUGAGCUCUUCAUCCGACCCGUCUUGAAACACGGACCAAGGAGUCUAACAUGUAUGCGAGCCGGUGGGCGGCAAACCCAUUGAGGCGCAAGUAAACUGACAGGUGGGACCCCGACCGUGAGGGAGGGAGCACCAUCGACCGACCGUGAUCUUCUGUGAAAGGUUUGAGUGUGAGCAUACCUGUUGGGACCCGAAAGAUGGUGAACUAUGCCUGAGCAGGGCGAAGCCAGAGGAAACUCUGGUGGAGGCUCGUAGCGAUACUGACGUGCAAAUCGUUCGUCAGACUUGGGUAUAGGGGCGAAAGACUAAUCGAACCAUCUAGUAGCUGGUUCCCUCCGAAGUUUCCCUCAGGAUAGCUGGAGCUCGUGUACAAGUUUUAUCAGGUAAAGCGAAUGAUUAGAGGCAUCGGGGGUGUAACACCCUCGACCUAUUCUCAAACUUUAAAUAGGUAAGCCGCCGGGGUUGCUUGGUUGAACCCCGGCACAGAAUGAGAGCUCCAAGUGGGCCAU
RNAcentral lists this ribosomal RNA (1091 nucleotides) under Cratoneuron curvicaule. RNAcentral's name for it is "eukaryotic LSU rRNA". It matches the Rfam family "Eukaryotic large subunit ribosomal RNA", at positions 47 to 1134 of the family's 3401-position model. Lineage: Eukaryota; Viridiplantae; Streptophyta; Bryopsida; Hypnales; Amblystegiaceae. The record is from RNAcentral.